GGUUAGUGCAGUGAAUAAGGCAGUAAGUAAACGAUGAGUUUUUACUCUGGUUUUGCCGAUGAGUCGUCAUUGACCUAGUGUGACUCUGCCGAUAUAGAUUAGGCGCACUAACC
RNAcentral lists this non-coding RNA (113 nucleotides) under unclassified sequences. Its description in RNAcentral is "Methylophilales-1 RNA". It matches the Rfam family "Methylophilales-1 RNA". Rfam says of the family: Methylophilales, lake sediment metagenome. Environment (Lake Washington) The record is from Rfam by way of RNAcentral.